Molecule: ribosomal RNA, 252 nt
Filed under: uncultured bacterium
Lineage: Bacteria
Description: partial 16S ribosomal RNA
Rfam family: Bacterial small subunit ribosomal RNA
Source: RNAcentral
UACGUAGGGCGCAAGCGUUGUCCGGAAUUAUUGGGCGUAAAGAGCUCGUAGGUGGCUUGUUGCGUCUGCCGUGAAAGCCCGUGGCUUAACUACGGGUCUGCGGUGGAUACGGGCAGGCUAGAGGCUGGUAGGGGCAAGCGGAAUUCCUGGUGUAGCGGUGAAAUGCGCAGAUAUCAGGAGGAACACCGGUGGCGAAGGCGGCUCGCUGGCCAGUUCUGACGCUGAGGAGCGAAAGCGUGGGGAGCGAACAGG